AAGUCAAGAGCGUUCACUUAGGGUGAGUAAGAAAUAAGUUGGGGAGAAUGAAAAUGAGAAUCGGUAAGUGCCACAACUCUUGAAAAACCGAGCAAGCAUAAAAAAAAUAUAUAAAAUAUAGAAAAGAGAAACAUCUGUUUUGUAAAUAUGAUGUGAAAGAAAAAAAAAUAGAGAAAAUGAAAAUGAAUGCUUGCUUGGAAGAAAAAUAGUAAAAAACAAAAGUUGAGUUGUGAAAUAAGAGUUGUGAAGGUUUCAAAUGAGAAACAAAUGGAACGAAGUUGAGAUGUAUGAAUAAUGUACAAUGAAUGUCUUUUGCAUCGGCAAUUUCGUUUUCAAUGGCCUUAGAAAUGACCCUUGUUUGUUAACCUAACCAAGCUUCAACCGAAAAGUCCUUAGUGAUC
RNAcentral lists this long non-coding RNA (401 nucleotides) under Lathyrus oleraceus (garden pea). RNAcentral describes it as "Pisum sativum (pea) long non-coding RNA (PSAT_LNC015230)". The record is from RNAcentral. Lineage: Eukaryota; Viridiplantae; Streptophyta; Magnoliopsida; Fabales; Fabaceae.